Molecule: ribosomal RNA, 495 nt
Filed under: uncultured bacterium
Lineage: Bacteria
Description: partial 16S ribosomal RNA
Rfam family: Bacterial small subunit ribosomal RNA
Source: RNAcentral
GAUGAGCGCUGGCGGCGUGCCUAAUACAUGCAAGUAGAACGCUGAAGGAGGAGCUUGCUCUUCUGGAUGAGUUGCGAACGGGUGAGUAACGCGUAGGUAACCUGCCUGGUAGCGGGGGAUAACUAUUGGAAACGAUAGCUAAUACCGCAUGACAACAGUUAUUGCAUGAUAACUGUUUAAAAGGGGCAACUGCUCCACUACCAGAUGGACCUGCGUUGUAUUAGCUAGUUGGUGAGGUAACGGCUCACCAAGGCGACGAUACAUAGCCGACCUGAGAGGGUGAUCGGCCACACUGGGACUGAGACACGGCCCAGACUCCUACGGGAGGCAGCAGUAGGGAAUCUUCGGCAAUGGACGGAAGUCUGACCGAGCAACGCCGCGUGAGUGAAGAAGGUUUUCGGAUCGUAAAGCUCUGUUGUAAGAGAAGAACGAGUGUGAGAGUGGAAAGUUCACACUGUGACGGUAUCUUACCAGAAAGGGACGGCUAACUACGUG